Molecule: ribosomal RNA, 253 nt
Filed under: uncultured bacterium
Lineage: Bacteria
Description: partial 16S ribosomal RNA
Rfam family: Bacterial small subunit ribosomal RNA
Source: RNAcentral
UACGAAGGGGGCUAGCGUUGCUCGGAAUUACUGGGCGUAAAGCGCACGUAGGCGGAUCUUUAAGUCAGGGGUGAAAUCCUGGAGCUCAACUCCAGAACUGCCUUUGAUACUGAGGACCUUGAGUUCGGGAGAGGUGAGUGGAACUGCGAGUGUAGUGGUGAAAUGCGUAGAGAUCGGCAGGAACACCCAGGGGGAAACCAGCCGACUGGGCAUUUGCUGACGCUGAGGUGCGAGAGCGUGGGGAGCGAACAGG